UUCAAUUUUUGAAGUUUCUCUAGCUUUUUUGUUGGGUGAAAUCAGUAUAAGAAGCUCUUUCUUCUUUAAAAAUUAGUAGGAACUAAAAAACUUUGAUUUAAAACCAGGAUUAGAUACCCUGUUAUUCUCAGUUAUUCUUAAACAGGGUAGUAAAAGUUGUUCUUCAAACCCAAAGAUUUUGGCGGCACUUUAUCCAAAUAGAGGAGCUUGUCCCUUAAUCGAUAGUCCUCGUUUUAUCUUUCCUUCAUUUGUAAAGCUUGUAUACCGCCGUUGUCAGAUUACUUUUAGAGAAUGUUUUCAAGUUAAAAGACUUUAUAACUUCAGGUCAAGGUGCAGUUAAUAUGGGGGUGGAGGUGAGCUACAGUUUUCUUUAGAAAAUAUGGAUUCUAAGCUUUGAAGCUAGCUGAAGGUGGAUUUACUAGUAAAGUAAUUUAAGUAAA
RNAcentral lists this ribosomal RNA (440 nucleotides) under Daphnia galeata. RNAcentral describes it as "partial 12S ribosomal RNA". The record is from RNAcentral. Lineage: Eukaryota; Metazoa; Arthropoda; Branchiopoda; Diplostraca; Daphniidae.